AGAGUUUGAUCCUGGCUCAGGACGAACGCUGGCGGCGUGCUUAACACAUGCAAGUCGAGCGAUGAAACUUCCUUCGGGAAGUGGAUUAGCGGCGGACGGGUGAGUAACACGUGGGUAACCUGCCUCAAAGUGGGGGAUAGCUUUCCGAAAGGAAGAUUAAUACCGCAUAACAUAAGAGAAUCGCAUGAUUUUCUUAUCAAAGAUUUAUUGCUUUGAGAUGGACCCGCGGCGCAUUAGCUAGUUGGUAAGGUAACGGCUUACCAAGGCAACGAUGCGUAGCCGACCUGAGAGGGUGAUCGGCCACAUUGGAACUGAGACACGGUCCAGACUCCUACGGGAGGCAGCAGUGGGGAAUAUUGCGCAAUGGGGGAAACCCUGACGCAGCAACGCCGCGUGGGUGAUGAAGGUCUUCGGAUUGUAAAGCCCUGUUUUCUAGGACGAUAAUGACGGUACUAGAGGAGGAAGCCACGGCUAACUACGUGCCAGCAGCCGCGGUAAUACGUAGGUGGCGAGCGUUGUCCGGAUUUACUGGGCGUAAAGGGUGCGUAGGCGGAUGUUUAAGUGGGAUGUGAAAUCCCCGGGCUUAACCUGGGGGCUGCAUUCCAAACUGGAUAUCUAGAGUGCAGGAGAGGAAAGCGGAAUUCCUAGUGUAGCGGUGAAAUGCGUAGAGAUUAGGAAGAACACCAGUGGCGAAGGCGGCUUUCUGGACUGUAACUGACGCUGAGGCACGAAAGCGUGGGUAGCAAACAGGAUUAGAUACCCUGGUAGUCCACGCCGUAAACGAUGGAUACUAGGUGUAGGGGGUAUCAACUCCCCCUGUGCCGCAGUUAACACAAUAAGUAUCCCGCCUGGGGGGUACGGUGGAAAG
This 868-nucleotide ribosomal RNA is filed under the name Clostridium sporogenes. Its description in RNAcentral is "bacterial SSU rRNA". It matches the Rfam family "Bacterial small subunit ribosomal RNA", at positions 8 to 892 of the family's 1533-position model. Lineage: Bacteria; Bacillati; Bacillota; Clostridia; Eubacteriales; Clostridiaceae. The record is from RNAcentral.